Molecule: ribosomal RNA, 460 nt
Filed under: uncultured bacterium
Lineage: Bacteria
Description: partial 16S ribosomal RNA
Rfam family: Bacterial small subunit ribosomal RNA
Source: RNAcentral
CCUACGGGAGGCAGCAGUGAGGAAUAUUGGUCAAUGGGCGUAAGCCUGAACCAGCCAAGUCGCGUGAGGGAUGAAGGUUCUAUGGAUCGUAAACCUCUUUUAUAAGGGAAUAAAGUGUGGGACGUGUCCUGUUUUGUAUGUACCUUAUGAAUAAGGAUCGGCUAACUCCGUGCCAGCAGCCGCGGUAAUACGGAGGAUCCGAGCGUUAUCCGGAUUUAUUGGGUUUAAGGGGUGUGUAGGCGGCCUUUUAAGUCAGCGGUGAAAGUCUGUGGCUAAACCAUAGAAUUGCCGUUGAAACUGGGAGGCUUGAGUAUGUUUGAGGCAGGCGGAAUGCGUGGUGUAGCGGUGAAAUGCUUAGAUAGCACGCAGAACCCCGAUGGCGAAGGCAGCCUGCCAAGCCAUGACUGACGCUGAUGCACGAAAGCGUGGGGAUCAAACAGGAUUAGAUACCCCUGUAGUC